Molecule: ribosomal RNA, 245 nt
Filed under: uncultured bacterium
Lineage: Bacteria
Description: partial small subunit ribosomal RNA
Rfam family: Bacterial small subunit ribosomal RNA
Source: RNAcentral
AGAAUCAACGCUGGCGGCGUGCCUAACACAUGCAAGUCGAACGAGAAAGUGGAGCAAUUCACAAGUAAAGUGGCGCACGGGUGAGUAACACGUGACUAACCUACCCUUGAGUGGGGGAUAACCUAGGGAAACCUGGGCUAAUACCGCAUAAUACCUACGGGUCAAAGGAGCAAUUCGCUUAAGGAGGGGGUCGCGGCCGAUUAGUUAGUUGGCGGGGUAAUGGCCCACCAAGACGAUGAUCGGUA